Molecule: ribosomal RNA, 735 nt
Filed under: uncultured Planctomycetota bacterium
Lineage: Bacteria; Pseudomonadati; Planctomycetota
Description: bacterial SSU rRNA
Rfam family: Bacterial small subunit ribosomal RNA
Source: RNAcentral
CGGCGAAAGGGUGAGUAACACGUAACCAACGUACCCCUCAGAUCGGGAUAACCACUGGAAGCGGUGGAUAAUACUGAAUGGUCCUAGGAAGGACAUCCUUCCGAAGGUAAACGGCGGCUUCGGCUGCUGUUGAGGGAGCGGGUUGCGUCCUAUCAGCUUGUUGGUGAGGUAACGGCUCACCAAGGCCAUGACGGGUAGCGGGUCUGAGAGGAUGAUCCGCCACACUGGGACUGAGACGCUGCUCAGACUCCUACGGGAGGCUGCAGUCGAGAAUCUUCCACAAUGGGCGAAAGCCUGAUGGAGCGACGCUGCGUGUAGGAUGAAGGCCUUAGGGUUGUAAACUACUGUCACGCUAUAGGAACCCGUGUAGGUUAAUAGCCUGCGCGCUGACCAAAGCGAGAGGAAGUGCCGGCUAACUCCGUGCCAGCAGCCGCGGUAAGACGGAGGGCGCAAGCGUUGUUCGGAAUCACUGGGCAUAAAGGGCGCGUAGGCGGCCAGUUCAGUCGGAUGUGAAAUCCCCCGGCCCAACCGGGGAACUGCAUUCGAUACUGACUGGCUAGAGGAUGGUAGGAGCCAAUGGAACUCCAGGUGGAACGGUGAAAUGUGUAGAUAUCUGGAGGAACACCGGUGGCGAAAGCGAUUGGCUGGGCCAUUUCUGACGCUGAGGCGCGAAAGCUAGGGGAGCGAACGGGAUUAGAUACCCCGGUAGUCCUAGCCGUAAACGAUGGGUACCGG